RNAcentral lists this ribosomal RNA (156 nucleotides) under Brassica gravinae. RNAcentral's name for it is "5.8S ribosomal RNA". It matches the Rfam family "5.8S ribosomal RNA". Rfam says of the family: 5.8S ribosomal RNA (5.8S rRNA) is a component of the large subunit of the eukaryotic ribosome. RNAcentral also lists the same sequence under 1 other name. Lineage: Eukaryota; Viridiplantae; Streptophyta; Magnoliopsida; Brassicales; Brassicaceae. The record is from RNAcentral.
AAAACGACUCUCGGCAACGGAUAUCUCGGCUCUCGCAUCGAUGAAGAACGUAGCGAAAUGCGAUACUUGGUGUGAAUUGCAGAAUCCCGUGAACCAUCGAGUCUUUGAACGCAAGUUGCGCCCUAAGCCUUUUGGCCGAGGGCACGUCUGCCUGGG